AAGACAAUACAUUUUAGACUCAUUUCUAUGGGUGGUUAUUAGAGAAAUUUCUCAGGGCCUGUAGAGUUCUGGGAACCAGGCAGAGGAACAGCCUUCUCUCCUGGGAGAGAGAAGCUGGCUCUGUUGUUCCUUAGCCAUAACUGCCAUUGCUAUUAAUGACCACUGUCCUUUAGGAGAGAAGGGGAGGGGGAGAGAGGAGGAUGGC
Mus pahari (shrew mouse) is the source of this 205-nucleotide small nucleolar RNA. RefSeq annotates it as small nucleolar RNA U3. The record is from RefSeq and is a predicted model, not a curated record. Lineage: Eukaryota; Metazoa; Chordata; Mammalia; Rodentia; Muridae. The transcript has a single exon.